GACCAGACUCCUACGGGAGGCAGCAGUGGGGGAUAUUGGACAAUGGGGGGAACCCUGAUCCAGCGAUGCCGCGUGAGGGAAGAAGGUUUUCGGAUUGUAAACCUCUGUGGACAGGGACGAUAAUGACGGUACCUGUCAAGAAAGCCACGGCUAACUACGUGCCAGCAGCCGCGGUAAUACGUAGGUGGCGAGCGUCGUCCGGAAUUACUGGGUGUAAAGGGAGCGUAGGCGGGAAUGCAAGUUGAAUGUUUAAACUAUGGGCUCAACCCAUAGUCGCGUUCAAAACUGCAUUUCUUGAGUGGAGUAGAGGCAGGCGGAAUUCCUAGUGUAGCGGUGAAAUGCGUAGAUAUUAGGAGGAACACCAGUGGCGAAGGCGGCCUGCUGGGCUCUAACUGACGCUGAGGCUCGAAAGCGUGGGUAGCAAACAGGAUUAGAUACCCGGGUAC
Molecule: ribosomal RNA, 446 nt
Filed under: uncultured bacterium
Lineage: Bacteria
Description: bacterial SSU rRNA
Rfam family: Bacterial small subunit ribosomal RNA
Source: RNAcentral